UAAUAGAUGAGCCUAAGUCGGAUUAGCUAGUUGGUGGGGUAAAGGCCUACCAAGGCGACGAUCUGUAGCGGGUCUGAGAGGAUGAUCCGCCACACUGGGACUGAGACACGGCCCAGACUCCUACGGGAGGCAGCAGUGGGGAAUAUUGGACAAUGGGGGGAACCCUGAUCCAGCCAUGCCGCGUGUGUGAAGAAGGCCUUUUGGUUGUAAAGCACUUUAAGCGAGGAGGAGGCUACUUAGAUUAAUACUCUGAGAUAGUGGACGUUACUCGCAGAAUAAGCACCGGCUAACUCUGUGCCAGCAGCCGCGGUAAUACAGAGGGUGCAAGCGUUAAUCGGAUUUACUGGGCGUAAAGCGUGCGUAGGUGGCCAAUUAAGUCAAAUGUGAAAUCCCCGAGCUUAACUUGGGAAUUGCAUUCGAUACUGGUUGGCUAGAGUAUGGGAGAGGAUGGUAGAAUUCCAGGUGUAGCGGUGAAAUGCGUAGAGAUCUGGAGGAAUACCGAUGGCGAAGGCAGCCAUCUGGCCUAAUACUGACACUGACGUACGAAAGCAUGGGGAGCAAACAGGAUUAGAUACCCUGGUAGUCCAUGCCGUAGACGAU
This 600-nucleotide ribosomal RNA is filed under the name uncultured bacterium. Its description in RNAcentral is "bacterial SSU rRNA". It matches the Rfam family "Bacterial small subunit ribosomal RNA", at positions 219 to 810 of the family's 1533-position model. The record is from RNAcentral.